GAUGAACGCUGGCGGCGUGCCUAAUACAUGCAAGUCGAGCGAACGGACGAGAAGCUUGCUUCUCUGAUGUUAGCGGCGGACGGGUGAGUAACACGUGGAUAACCUACCUAUAAGACUGGGAUAACUUCGGGAAACCGGAGCUAAUACCGGAUGAUAUUUUGAACCGCAUGGUUCAAAAGUGAAAGACGGUCUUGCUGUCACUUAUAGAUGGAUCCGCGCUGCAUUAGCUAGUUGGUAAGGUAACGGCUUACCAAGGCAACGAUGCAUAGCCGACCUGAGAGGGUGAUCGGCCACCCUGGAACUGAGACACGGUCCCGACUCCUACGGGAGGCAGCAGUAGGGAAUCUUCCGCCAUGGGCGAAAGCCUGACGGAGCAACGCCGCGUGAGUGAUGAAGGUCUUCGGAUCGUAAAACUCUGUUAUUAGGGAAGAACAUAUGUGUAAGUAACUGUGCACAUCUUGACGGUACCUAAUCAGAAAGCCACGGCUAACUACGUG
RNAcentral lists this ribosomal RNA (497 nucleotides) under uncultured bacterium. RNAcentral's name for it is "partial 16S ribosomal RNA". It matches the Rfam family "Bacterial small subunit ribosomal RNA", at positions 28 to 507 of the family's 1533-position model. The record is from RNAcentral.